CCUACGGGAGGCAGCAGUGAGGAAUAUUGGUCAAUGGGCGCGAGCCUGAACCAGCCAAGUCGCGUGAGGGAUGACGGUCCUACGGAUUGUAAACUUCUUUUGUCAAGGAAUAAAAUAAGGCACGUGUGCCUUUCCGUGUGUACUUGAUGAAUAAGCAUCGGCUAACUCCGUGCCAGCAGCCGCGGUAAUACGGAGGAUGCGAGCGUUAUCCGGAUUUAUUGGGUUUAAAGGGAGCGCAGGGGGAUGAUUAAGUCAGCGGUAAAAUUGUGAGGCUAAACCUCAUAGAGCCGUUGAAACUGGUUGUCUUGAGUGGGGGAGAGGUAUGCGGAAUGCGUGGUGUAGCGGUGAAAUGCUUAGAUAUCACGCAGAACUCCGAUUGCGAAGGCAGCAUACCGGCGCGCCACUGACGCUGAUGCACGAAAGUGUGGGUAUCGAACAGGAUUAGAUACCCGAGUAGUC
RNAcentral lists this ribosomal RNA (459 nucleotides) under uncultured bacterium. RNAcentral's name for it is "partial 16S ribosomal RNA". It matches the Rfam family "Bacterial small subunit ribosomal RNA", at positions 338 to 795 of the family's 1533-position model. The record is from RNAcentral.